Molecule: long non-coding RNA, 339 nt
Organism: Pieris rapae (cabbage white)
Lineage: Eukaryota; Metazoa; Arthropoda; Insecta; Lepidoptera; Pieridae
Exons: 3
Source: RefSeq, a predicted model, not a curated record
UUAUUUUUCAUUUUGUAAUCGUUUCAGCAUUGCGGCGUAGGAACGAGUUUUCGAUUUAUUUACUGAUGCAAUUUGGAAAUGUAACUUGUGUUCAACGAAGAACGCUUAGGGAUUAUUGUGAAAAUUGCGUUUAAUGCUUAAAUUGGAUAUGUGUGUUAUGUCUCGUCUUAAAUGGAAGCGAGUAAUGAUGCAUAUUAUAUUCGGAAAGCUGGAGACAGUGAAAGCUUAGUUGGAAGCUUUGAGAGAUUCGAACCUCUGCAUUGAUGACAGAAAAUUUGUUAUCAACCAAACUACUAUAGUAUACUUUAAAUUGAAUUAUUUCACACACCCAUAGGUAUA